RNAcentral lists this ribosomal RNA (1483 nucleotides) under metagenome. RNAcentral describes it as "bacterial LSU rRNA". It matches the Rfam family "Bacterial large subunit ribosomal RNA", at positions 1460 to 2925 of the family's 2925-position model. The record is from RNAcentral.
UGCGAUGGAGGGACGGAGAAGGUUAGGUGUACCGGGCGUUGGUUGUCCCGGGGAAAGGCGGUAGGUUUGGAUCUUUGGCAAAUCCGGGAUCCUUUAAGACCGAGCACCGAGACGAGUCUUUUAGACGAAGUCACUGAUACCACGCUUCCAGGAAAAGCUCCUAAGCUUCAGCUUACGCAGACCGUACCGUAAACCGACACAGGUGGGUAGGAUGAGAAUUCUCAGGCGCUUGAGAGAACUCGGGUGCAGGAACUAGGCAACAUGGCACCGUAACUUCGGGAGAAGGUGCACCCUCUUUGGUGGCCCAUGCGGGUCAAAGCUGAGGAGGGUCGCAGAAACCAGGCCGCUGCGACUGUUUAUCAAAAACACAGCACUCUGCAAACACGAAAGUGGACGUAUAGGGUGUGACGCCUGCCCGGUGCUGGAAGGUUAAUUGAUGGGGUCAGCCGCAAGGCGAAGCUCUUGAUCGAAGCCCCAGUAAACGGCGGCCGUAACAAUAACGGUCCUAAGGUAGCGAAAUUCCUUGUCGGGUAAGUUCCGACCUGCACGAAUGGCGUAACGACAGCGGCGCUGUCUCCACCCGAGACUCAGUGAAAUUGAAAUCGCUGUGAAGAUGCAGCGUUCCCGUGGCAAGACGGAAAGACCCCCGUGAACCUUUACUAUAGCUUUACACUGAACGUUGAGUUCGUCUGUGUAGGAUAGGUGGGAGGCUAUGAAACUGUGGCGCUAGCUGCAGUGGAGCCAUCCUUGAAAUACCACCCUGUCGUGCUUGACGUUCUAACCUAGGCCCGUAAUCCGGGUCGGGGACCGUGUAUGGUGGGUAGUUUGACUGGGGCGGUCUCCUCCCAAAGAGUAACGGAGGAGCUCGAAGGUACGCUCAGCGCGGUCGGACAUCGCGCACUGUGUGCAAAGGCAUAAGCGUGCUUGACUGCAAGAUCGACGGAUCAAGCAGGUAGGAAACUAGGACUUAGUGAUCCGGUGGUUCUGUAUGGAAGGGCCAUCGCUCAACGGAUAAAAGGUACUCCGGGGAUAACAGGCUGAUACCGCCCAAGAGUUCAUAUCGACGGCGGUGUUUGGCACCUCGAUGUCGGCUCAUCACAUCCUGGGGCUGUAGUCGGUCCCAAGGGUAUGGCUGUUCGCCAUUUAAAGUGGUACGCGAGCUGGGUUCAGAACGUCGUGAGACAGUUCGGUCCCUAUCUGCCAUGGGCGUUGGAAGUUUGGGAGGGGCUGCUCCUAGUACGAGAGGACCGGAGUGGACGAACCUCUGGUGUUCCGGUUGUCACGCCAGUGGCAUUGCCGGGUAGCUAUGUUCGGAAGCGAUAACCGCUGAAAGCAUCUAAGCGGGAAGCGCGCCUCAAGAUGAGACUUCCCGGGGCACAAGCCCCCUAAAGGAACCAUAUAGACUAUGUGGUUGAUAGGUCAGGUGUGUAAGUGCAGCAAUGCAUUGAGCUAACUGAUACUAAUGAUCCGUGUGGCUUGACCG